This 403-nucleotide ribosomal RNA is filed under the name uncultured bacterium. RNAcentral describes it as "partial 16S ribosomal RNA". It matches the Rfam family "Bacterial small subunit ribosomal RNA", at positions 30 to 526 of the family's 1533-position model. The record is from RNAcentral.
AUUGAACGCUGGCGGCAGGCCUAACACAUGCAAGUCGAGCGAGCGGCGGGCAGGGGCGUAAUGUGUGUGGACUGCCCGAUAGAGGGGGAUAACUAUUGUAAACGGUAGCUCAUACAGCGUACUACAAGAUAACCCCUAUGGGAUUAGCUAGAAGGUGAGGUAUUGGCUCACCUAGGCGACGAUCCCUAGCUGGUCUGAGAGGAUGAUCAGCCACACUGGGACUGAGAAACGUCCCAGACUCGUACGGAGGCAGCAGUGGUGAAUAUUGCACAAUGGGCGCAAGCCUGAUGCAUCCAUGCCGCGUGUAUGAAGAAGGCCCUAGGGUUGUAAAGUACUUUCAGUCGGGAGGCGUUACCGGCAGAAGAAGCACCGGCUAACUCCGUGCCAGCAGCCGCGGUAAUUC